CGGGGUGUGGCAAAAAAGUAAAGCAUCUCCCUUACACUGAGAAGAUGUCCAUGCAAAUUGGACCACCCUGA
This 71-nucleotide transfer RNA is filed under the name Macrourus whitsoni (Whitson's grenadier). Its description in RNAcentral is "tRNA-Val". It matches the Rfam family "tRNA". Rfam says of the family: Transfer RNA (tRNA) molecules are approximately 80 nucleotides in length. Lineage: Eukaryota; Metazoa; Chordata; Actinopteri; Gadiformes; Macrouridae. The record is from RNAcentral.